UUAAGUUAGAAAGGGCGCACGGUGGAUGCCUUGACACUAGGAGUCGAUGAAGGACGGGACUAACGCCGAUAUGCUUCGGGGAGCUGUAAGUAAGCUUUGAUCCGAAGAUUUCCGAAUGGGGAAACCCACCAUACGUAAUGGUAUGGUAUCCUUAUCUGAAUACAUAGGGUAAGGAAGACAGACCCAGGGAACUGAAACAUCUAAGUACCUGGAGGAAGAGAAAGCAAAUGCGAUUUCCUGAGUAGCGGCGAGCGAAACGGAACAUAGCCCAAACCAAGAGGCUUGCCUCUUGGGGUUGUAGGACAUUCUAUACGGAGUUACAAAGGAACGAGGUAGACGAAGCGACCUGGAAAGGUCCGUCGUAGAGGGUAACAACCCCGUAGUCGAAACUUCGUUCUCUCUUGAAUGUAUCCUGAGUACGGCGGAACACGUGAAAUUCCGUCGGAAUCUGGGAGGACCAUCUCCCAAGGCUAAAUACUCCCUAGUGAUCGAUAGUGAACCAGUACCGUGAGGGAAAGGUGAAAAGCACCCCGGAAGGGGAGUGAAAGAGAUCCUGAAACCGUGUGCCUACAAAUAGUCAGAGCCCGUUAACGGGUGAUGGCGUGCCUUUUGUAGAAUGAACCGGCGAGUUACGAUCCCGUGCGAGGUUAAGCUGAAGAGGCGGAGCCGCAGCGAAAGCGAGUCUGAAUAGGGCGUUUAGUACGUGGUCGUAGACCCGAAACCAGGUGAUCUACCCAUGUCCAGGGUGAAGUUCAGGUAACACUGAAUGGAGGCCCGAACCCACGCACGUUGAAAAGUGCGGGGAUGAGGUGUGGGUAGCGGAGAAAUUCCAAUCGAACCUGGAGAUAGCUGGUUCUCCCCGAAAUAGCUUUAGGGCUAGCCUUAAGUGUAAGAGUCUUGGAGGUAGAGCACUGAUUGGACUAGGGGUCCUCAUCGGAUUACCGAAUUCAGUCAAACUCCGAAUGCCAAUGACUUAUCCUUAGGAGUCAGACUGCGAGUGAUAAGAUCCGUAGUCAAAAGGGAAACAGCCCAGACCGCCAGCUAAGGUCCCAAAGUGUGUAUUAAGUGGAAAAGGAUGUGGAGUUGCUUAGACAACUAGGAUGUUGGCUUAGAAGCAGCCACCAUUUAAAGAGUGCGUAAUAGCUCACUAGUCGAGUGACUCUGCGCCGAAAAUGUACCGGGGCUAAAUACACCACCGAAGCUGCGGAUUGAUACCAAUGGUAUCAGUGGUAGGGGAGCGUUCUAAGGACAGUGAAGUCAGACCGGAAGGACUGGUGGAGUGCUUAGAAGUGAGAAUGCCGGUAUGAGUAGCGAAAGACGGGUGAGAAUCCCGUCCACCGAAUGCCUAAGGGUUCCUGAGGAAGGCUCGUCCGCUCAGGGUUAGUCAGGACCUAAGCCGAGGCCGACAGGCGUAGGCGAUGGACAACAGGUUGAUAUUCCUGUACCACCUCUUUAUCGUUUGAGCAAUGGAGGGACGCAGAAGGAUAGAAGAAGCGUGCGAUUGGUUGUGCACGUCCAAGCAGUUAGGCUGAUAAGUAGGCAAAUCCGCUUAUCGUGAAGGCUGAGCUGUGAUGGGGAAGCUCCUUAUGGAGCGAAGUCUUUGAUUCCCCGCUGCCAAGAAAAGCUUCUAGCGAGAUAAAAGGUGCCUGUACCGCAAACCGACACAGGUAGGCGAGGAGAGAAUCCUAAGGUGUGCGAGAGAACUCUGGUUAAGGAACUCGGCAAAAUGACCCCGUAACUUCGGGAGAAGGGGUGCUUUCUUAACGGAAAGCCGCAGUGAAUAGGCCCAAGCGACUGUUUAGCAAAAACACAGCUCUCUGCGAAGCCGUAAGGCGAAGUAUAGGGGGUGACACCUGCCCGGUGCUGGAAGGUUAAGGAGAGGGGUUAGCGUAAGCGAAGCUCUGAACUGAAGCCCCAGUAAACGGCGGCCGUAACUAUAACGGUCCUAAGGUAGCGAAAUUCCUUGUCGGGUAAGUUCCGACCCGCACGAAAGGUGUAACGAUUUGGGCACUGUCUCAACCAGAGACUCGGUGAAAUUAUAGUACCUGUGAAGAUGCAGGGUACCCGCGACAGGACGGAAAGACCCCGUGGAGCUUUACUGUAGCCUGAUAUUGAAUUUUGGUACAGUUUGUACAGGAUAGGCGGGAGCCUUUGAAACCGGAGCGCUAGCUUCGGUGGAGGCGCUGGUGGGAUACCGCCCUGACUGUAUUGAAAUUCUAACCUACGGGUCUUAUCGACCCGGGAGACAGUGUCAGGUGGGCAGUUUGACUGGGGCGGUCGCCUCCUAAAGUGUAACGGAGGCGCCCAAAGGUUCCCUCAGAAUGGUUGGAAAUCAUUCGUAGAGUGCAAAGGCAUAAGGGAGCUUGACUGCGAGACCUACAAGUCGAGCAGGGACGAAAGUCGGGCUUAGUGAUCCGGUGGUUCCGCAUGGAAGGGCCAUCGCUCAACGGAUAAAAGCUACCCCGGGGAUAACAGGCUUAUCUCCCCCAAGAGUCCACAUCGACGGGGAGGUUUGGCACCUCGAUGUCGGCUCAUCGCAUCCUGGGGCUGUAGUCGGUCCCAAGGGUUGGGCUGUUCGCCCAUUAAAGCGGUACGCGAGCUGGGUUCAGAACGUCGUGAGACAGUUCGGUCCCUAUCCGUCGUGGGCGUAGGAAAUUUGAGAGGAGCUGUCCUUAGUACGAGAGGACCGGGAUGGACGCACCGCUGGUGUACCAGUUGUUCUGCCAAGGGCAUAGCUGGGUAGCUAUGUGCGGAAGGGAUAAGUGCUGAAAGCAUCUAAGCAUGAAGCCCCCCUCAAGAUGAGAUUUCCCAUAGCGUAAGCUAGUAAGAUCCCUGAAAGAUGAUCAGGUUGAUAGGUUCGAGGUGGAAGCAUGGUGACAUGUGGAGCUGACGAAUACUAAUAGAUCGAGGACUUAACCAU
This 2920-nucleotide ribosomal RNA is filed under the name Bacillus anthracis (anthrax bacterium). Its description in RNAcentral is "bacterial LSU rRNA". It matches the Rfam family "Bacterial large subunit ribosomal RNA". The record is from RNAcentral. Lineage: Bacteria; Bacillati; Bacillota; Bacilli; Caryophanales; Bacillaceae.